This 253-nucleotide ribosomal RNA is filed under the name uncultured bacterium. RNAcentral's name for it is "partial 16S ribosomal RNA". It matches the Rfam family "Bacterial small subunit ribosomal RNA", at positions 524 to 776 of the family's 1533-position model. The record is from RNAcentral.
GACGAACCGUGCGAACGUUGUUCGGAAUCACUGGGCUUAAAGGGCGCGUAGGCGGUUGUGCAAGUCUGCGGUGAAAGCCUCCAGCUUAACUGGAGAAGUGCCGUGGAUACUGCAUAUCUUGAGGAGGGUAGGGGCAUCUGGAACAUUGGGUGGAGCGGUGAAAUGCGUUGAUAUCCAAUGGAACUCCGGUGGCGAAGGCGAGGUGCUGGACCCUUUCUGACGCUGAGGCGCGAAAGCGUGGGGAGCGAUCCGG